This 73-nucleotide transfer RNA is filed under the name Paramuricea clavata. It matches the Rfam family "tRNA". From Rfam's summary of the family: Transfer RNA (tRNA) molecules are approximately 80 nucleotides in length. Their secondary structure includes four short double-helical elements and three loops (D, anti-codon, and T loops). The record is from Rfam by way of RNAcentral. Lineage: Eukaryota; Metazoa; Cnidaria; Anthozoa; Malacalcyonacea; Plexauridae.
GACCACGUAGCUCAAUUGGCAGAGCAUUGGGCUAGUAUUCCAAAGGUCGUAGGUUCGAUUCCCACCGUGGCCG